This 405-nucleotide ribosomal RNA is filed under the name uncultured bacterium. Its description in RNAcentral is "partial 16S ribosomal RNA". It matches the Rfam family "Bacterial small subunit ribosomal RNA", at positions 360 to 775 of the family's 1533-position model. The record is from RNAcentral.
AAUAUUGCACAAUGGGCGCAAGCCUGAUGCAGCAACGCCGCGUGAGGGAUGACGGCCNNNGGGUUNUAAACCUCUUUUGUCAGNGACNAAGCCUUUGGGUGACGGUACCUGGAGAAAAAGCACCGGCUAACUACGUGCCAGCAGCCGCGGUAAUACGUAGGGUGCAAGCGUUGUCCGGAAUUAGUGGGCGUAAAGAGCUCGUAGGCGGCUUGUCGCGUCUGCUGUGAAAACCCGAGGCUCAACCUCGGGCCUGCAGUGGGUACGGGCAGGCUAGAGUGCGGUAGGGGAGAUUGGAAUUCCUGGUGUAGCGGUGGAAUGCGCAGAUAUCAGGAGGAACACCGAUGGCGAAGGCAGAUCUCUGGGCCGCUACUGACGCUGAGGAGCGAAAGCAUGGGGAGCGAACAG